AUUGAACGCUGGCGGCAGGCCUAACACAUGCAAGUCGAGCGGAUGAAGGGAGCUUGCUCCUGGAUUCAGCGGCGGACGGGUGAGUAAUGCCUAGGAAUCUGCCUGGUAGUGGGGGAUAACGUCCGGAAACGGGCGCUAAUACCGCAUACGUCCUGAGGGAGAAAGUGGGGGUUCUUCGGACCUCACGCUAUCAGAUGAGCCUAGGUCGGAUUAGCUAGUUGGUGGGGUAAAGGCCUACCAAGGCGACGAUCCGUAACUGGUCUGAGAGGAGGAUCAGUCACACUGGAACUGAGACACGGUCCAGACUCCUACGGGAGGCAGCAGUGGGGAAUAUUGGACAAUGGGCGAAAGCCUGAUCCAGCCAUGCCGCGUGUGUGAAGAAGGUCUUCGGAUUGUAAAGCACUUUAAGUUGGGAGGAAGGGCAGUAAGUUAAUACCUUGCUGUUUUGACGUUACCAACAGAAUAAGCACCGGCUAACUUCGUG
RNAcentral lists this ribosomal RNA (484 nucleotides) under uncultured bacterium. Its description in RNAcentral is "partial 16S ribosomal RNA". It matches the Rfam family "Bacterial small subunit ribosomal RNA", at positions 30 to 507 of the family's 1533-position model. The record is from RNAcentral.